GUGUUCUAUUUGGCAGUAUAAAUACUAAAAUUGGAAUGAUACAGAGAAGACUAGUAUGCCCCCUGUAUAAGAAUGUCAUGCAAAUGUAUUAAGUGUUCCAUAUUUUG
This 107-nucleotide small nuclear RNA is filed under the name Castor canadensis (American beaver). The record is from RNAcentral. Lineage: Eukaryota; Metazoa; Chordata; Mammalia; Rodentia; Castoridae.